This 711-nucleotide ribosomal RNA is filed under the name uncultured Enterobacterales bacterium. RNAcentral describes it as "bacterial SSU rRNA". It matches the Rfam family "Bacterial small subunit ribosomal RNA", at positions 60 to 759 of the family's 1533-position model. Lineage: Bacteria; Pseudomonadati; Pseudomonadota; Gammaproteobacteria; Enterobacterales. The record is from RNAcentral.
AGUCGAACGGUAACAGGAAGCAGCUUGCUGCUCCGCUGACGAGUGGCGGACGGGUGAGUAAUGUCUGGGAAACUGCCUGAUGGAGGGGGAUAACUACUGGAAACGGUAGCUAAUACCGCAUAACGUCGCAAGACCAAAGAGGGGGACCUUCGGGCCUCUUGCCAUCGGAUGUGCCCAGAUGGGAUUAGCUAGUAGGUGGGGUAACGGCUCACCUAGGCGACGAUCCCUAGCUGGUCUGAGAGGAUGACCAGCCACACUGGAACUGAGACACGGUCCAGACUCCGUACGGAAGGCAGCAGUGGGGAAUAUUGCACAGUGGGCGCAAGCCUGAUGCAGCCAUGCCGCGUGUAUGCAGAAGGCCUUCGGGUUGUAAAGUACUUUCAGCGGGGAGGAAGGCGACAGGGUUAAUAACCCUGUCGAUUGACGUUACCCGCAGAAGAAGCACCGGCUAACUCCGUGCCAGCAGCCGCGGUAAUACGGAGGGUGCAAGCGUUAAUCGGAAUUACUGGGCGUAAAGCGCACGCAGGCGGUCUGUCAAGUCGGAUGUGAAAUCCCCGGGCUCAACCUGGGAACUGCAUUCGAAACUGGCAGGCUAGAGUCUUGUAGAGGGGGGUAGAAUUCCAGGUGUAGCGGUGAAAUGCGUAGAGAUCUGGAGGAAUACCGGUGGCGAAGGCGGCCCCCUGGACAAAGACUGACGCUCAGGUGCGAAAG